Molecule: long non-coding RNA, 1956 nt
Filed under: Salmo salar (Atlantic salmon)
Lineage: Eukaryota; Metazoa; Chordata; Actinopteri; Salmoniformes; Salmonidae
Description: lncRNA (ENSSSAG00000090907.1)
Source: RNAcentral
CUCUGACUAUUCCUUGAGCUUCUUGACUCUGUUUAUUGAAGACUGAGGAUCUUUGCUGUAACGUGACACUUCCUACGGCUCCCAUAGGCUCUCAGAAGGCGGGAAAAAGCUGAAUGAUGUAAUUCCAGCCCCAGGCUGAAACACAUUAGCGCUUUUGGUAAGUGCUCUAUCAGAGGACAAUGGGCUGAGGCGCGUGCACGAGUCGACCCCAUGUUUUUAUUUUCUAUCGUCUUUGAAACUAAACACAGAUUCCCGGUCGGAAUAUUAUCGCUUUUUUACGAGAAAAAUGGCAUAAAAAUGUAUUUUAAACAGCGGUUGACAUGCUUCGAAGUACGGUAAUGGAAUAUUUAGAUUUUUUUUGUCACGAAAUGCGUCGUGCGCGUCACCCUUCUUUACCAUUCGGAUAGUGUCUUGAACGCACGAACAAAACGCCGCUAUUUGGAUAUAACUAUGGAUUAUUUUGAACCAAACCAACAUUUGUUAUUGAAGUAGACGUCCUGGGAGUGCAUUCUGACGAAGACAGCAAAGACAGCCAUUACAGAAUUACCCACCAAACCAGGACCAAGCAGCGGAGGAGGAAGGAGCAACAGGAGAACAGCUUGAUGGACUCAUGGACAUGGGAACAGAUACUGGACGGAGGGGACCAUGGACUCAGGCUGGGGAGUAUCGCCUCCCGCAGUGGGAGAUUGAAGCGGCGAGAGCGGAGAGGCGAUAUUAUGAGGAGAGAGAGCGCAACAAGCACGAGAGGCAGCCCCAAUCAUUUUUUUGGGGGGGGGGCACACAGGACAGUCGGCGGAGCCGAGGUCGGAACCAGAGCCAGUCGGGUUGACAUUGGAGGUGAGCGAGGGGAACGAGGCAGAGACUGUGAAGGAGUUAAUGGGGAGAUUAAAGGAGAGAGAGAUGAGAGAGCUGCUAGUUUGGUGCAUAAGGCACGGUAUCCGCCCUACGGAGCGUGUCGUUGAAAUGAUGUCACCUGAGGCAGCUCUCCAUACUCGUCCUGAGGUGCGUGCUGGUUGUCUGGUGAGGACUGUGCCUGCGCCCAGAAACAGGCCUCCUGCAUGUCUUCCCAGCCCUGCACGUCCUGUGCCUACGCCCAGAACCAGGCCUCCUGCAUGUCUUCCCAUCCUGGUCAAGCCCGUGCCUCCUCCACGGACCAGUCCUCCAGUGGGUCUCCCUAUCCUGGUCAAGCCCGUGCCUCCUCCACGGACCAGUCCUCCAGUGGGUGUCCCCAUCCUGGUCAAGUCCGUGCCUCCUCCUCGGACCAGUCCUCCAGUGGGUCUCCCCAUCCUGGUUCGUCCUGUGCCUCCUCCAAGGACCAGUCCUCCGGUGGAUCCCUCCACCCUGGUCUCUCCUGUGCCGCCUCCUCAGACCGGGCCUCCAGCUGGUCUCCCCAGCCUGAUGAGUCCAGGGCCUGCGCACAGAGCCAGGCCUCCAUGUCUCCCCAGCCUGGCCGGAGUGGCCGGCCGUGCCGGAUCUGCCGGAGUGGCCCGCCGUGCCGAAUCGACGCCAAGGGUGCAGCAAAGGCCACGUCCCGCACCUGAUCCACCUCCAGGUUAGGUGGGUUGGGGAGGGGGGGUGUAGCACAGUGCCGUCGUUGACGGCAGCCACCCUCCCUUCCCUCCCUUAUUGUUUAAGGGGGGAGACAUUUUUUGGGGGGGAUUUUUUGUUGUUUCGGUGUAGGUGCAUUCGGGGUAUGCACCUUUGAGGGGGGGUACUGUCACGUCCUGACCAGUAGAGGGUGUAGUUGGGUCAGGACGUGGCAGAAGAGAAGUGUGUAGGUUGAUUUGUUUCGUUUAUUUUGGCCGUGUGGCUUCCAAUCAGGCACAGCUGUAGAGGGUUGUUGCUGAUUGGGAGUCACACAUAAGUAGCCUACUUUUCCUUUGGGGUUUGUGGGUAAUUGUUCUUGUUACUGUGUUAAUCGUGACAGGACUGUUUUGGUUGUCUGUUUAUUGUAUU